Molecule: ribosomal RNA, 253 nt
Filed under: uncultured bacterium
Lineage: Bacteria
Description: partial 16S ribosomal RNA
Rfam family: Bacterial small subunit ribosomal RNA
Source: RNAcentral
UACGUAGGGGGCAAGCGUUGUCCGGAUUUAUUGGGCGUAAAGAGCGCGUAGGCGGCCAGCCAGGUCCGUUGUGAAAACUAGAGGCUUAACCUCUAGACGUCGAUGGAAACCGUUUGGCUAGAGUCCGGAAGAGGAGAAUGGAAUUCCUGGUGUAGCGGUGAAAUGCGCAGAUAUCAGGAAGAACACCCGUGGCUAAGGCGGUUCUCUAGUACGGUACUGACGCUGAGACGCGAAAGCGUGGGGAGCGAACAGG